This 456-nucleotide ribosomal RNA is filed under the name uncultured bacterium. Its description in RNAcentral is "bacterial SSU rRNA". It matches the Rfam family "Bacterial small subunit ribosomal RNA", at positions 340 to 786 of the family's 1533-position model. The record is from RNAcentral.
UACGGGAGGCAGCAGUGGGGAAUAUUGCACAAUGGGCGAAAGCCUGAUGCAGCUAUGCCGCGUGUAUGAAGAAGGCCUUAGGGUUGUAAAGUACUUUCAUCGGGGAGGAAAAACAAAACUAAUAAUUUUAUUUCUUGACGUUACCCGAAAAAGAAGCACCGGCUAACUCCGUGCCAGCAGCCGCGGUAAUACGGAGGGUGCUAGCGUUAAUCAGAAUUACUGGGCGUAAAGAGCACGUAGGUGGUUUUUUUAAGUCAGAUGUGAAAUCCCUGGGCUUAACCUAGGAACUGCAUUUUGAAACUGAAAUACUAGAGUAUCGUAGAGGGAGGUAGAAAUUCUAGGUGUAGCGGUGAAAUGCGUAGAUAUCUGGAGGAAUACCUGUGGCGAAAGCGGCCUCCUAAACGAAUACUGACACUGAGGUGCGAAAGCGUGGGGAGCAAACAGGGAUUAGAUACC